CCCUGCGGCACCUCCUUACCAAGAGUCCCCACCCCUUGCCGCCUCCGCAGCGCGGGGACGUCUGGGAAAUGCAGUCCAGAGCCCGGUGAAAGCUUGAAAAGAUUGCCCCACGCGAACUACAAUUCCCAGGAUGGGCCACUUCUCGGCGGCUUUGCUUCUCCCUCCCUUAUCCCCUCUCAGCGUUUGGUGUUUCUCAAGCCACAACCUCUGUCUGCUGGCUGCGGGUUUUGUGUUUUCAGAAGCUCCGCAGUUGGCUGUGCCGAAGUGCUAGACUGAUUUCAACCAUUAUUCACAAACAAAGACGUUUGUUUUAGACCAUGAAUGACGAAGCACGAAGAGAAAAGAAAGGGGUGGCAGCUGCCUGAAAAACUGGUUGCAUGUGAACCUAGCCCUAUACCUGGGGGUGAAGGUUGUAUACUUGCGAGUUUUGAGGAAGUACCCGCAUCCCUGCCAAAGAAACUGGCCAGAGUUUCUCCUGUAGUAUGCAGUUUAUGGAAUCUCCUCUUUCUUCCUGCAGUGAUGUUGUUCUAUGUUUGCAUAGGCUACGUCCUUGAGACGAAGCGAUUGAUGACCUGCAGCUGAAGAUUGUGUUGCACUGGCCUGAACAAACGCCGUGAAACAGGAUACUAAUUAUCUCCAGUAUUCUGUUGCUACCUGAAAUUAAAAGUCCUCAGUUCUGCCAGAUUACAUUCAUUCAUUAAAGAGAAGAAAAUAAA
Artibeus jamaicensis (Jamaican fruit-eating bat) is the source of this 716-nucleotide long non-coding RNA. RefSeq lists it as uncharacterized. The transcript is spliced from 2 exons. NCBI's taxonomy places the organism in Eukaryota, Metazoa, Chordata, Mammalia, Chiroptera, Phyllostomidae. The record is from RefSeq and is a predicted model, not a curated record.